UGAUAGUACCAGAAGAGGAAGAGACGGCUAACUCUGUGCCAGCAGCCGCGGUAAUACAGAGGUCUCAAGCGUUGUUCGGAUUCAUUGGGCGUAGAGGGUGUGUAGGUGGCGCGCUAAGUCGGGUGUGAAAUUUCGGAGCUUAACUCCGAAACUGCAUUCGAUACUGGCGUGCUUGAGGACUGGAGAGGAGACUGGAAUUUACGGUGUAGCAGUGAAAUGCGUAGAUAUCGUAAGGAAGACCAGCGGCGAAGGCGGGUCUCUGGACAGUUCCUGACACUGAGACACGAAGGCCAGGGGAGCAAACGGGAUUAGAUACCCCGGUAGUCCUGGCAGUAAACGGUGCACGUUUGGUGUGGGGGGAUUCGACCCCUUCUGCGCCGGAGCUAACGCGUUAAACGUGCCGCCUGGGGAGUACGGUCGCAAGAUUAAAACUCAAAGAAAUUGACGGGGACCCGCACAAGCGGUGGAGUAUGUGGCUCAAUUCGAUGCAACGCGAAGAACCUUACCAGGCCUUGACAUGCAUCUCUAAACCGGUGAAAGCCGGCGAGUGUCGAAAGACAC
This 561-nucleotide ribosomal RNA is filed under the name uncultured Verrucomicrobiota bacterium. RNAcentral's name for it is "bacterial SSU rRNA". It matches the Rfam family "Bacterial small subunit ribosomal RNA", at positions 470 to 1027 of the family's 1533-position model. Lineage: Bacteria; Pseudomonadati; Verrucomicrobiota. The record is from RNAcentral.